CAUAUCAAUAAGCGGAGGAAAAGAAACCAACAGGGAUUGCCUUAGUAACGGCGAGUGAAGCGGCAACAGCUCAAAUUUGAAAGCUGGCCCUUUUAGGGUCCGCAUUGUAAUUUGUAGAGGAUGAUUCGGCGAGGGCUCCUGCCUAAGUCCCCUGGAACGGGGCGUCAUAGAGGGUGAGAAUCCCGUAUGCGGUAGGUUGCCUUAGCCAUGUGAAUCUCCUUCGACGAGUCGAGUUGUUUGGGAAUGCAGCUCUAAAUGGGAGGUAAAUUUCUUCUAAAGCUAAAUACCGGCCAGAGACCGAUAGCGCACAAGUAGAGUGAUCGAAAGAUGAAAAGCACUUUGGAAAGAGAGUUAAAAAGUACGUGAAAUUGUUGAAAGGGAAGCGCUUGCAACCAGACUUGUCCGCAGUUGCUCAGCCGGUCUCCUGACCGGCGUACUCUUCUGCGGCCAGGCCAGCAUCAGUUCGGGCGGUCGGAUAAAGGCCUCGGGAAUGUGGCUCCUCUCGGGGAGUGUUAUAGCCCGGGGUGCAAUGCGGCCAGCCUGGACUGAGGAACUCGCUUCGGCAAGGAUGCUGGCGUAAUGGUUGUAAGCGGCCCGUCUUGAAACACGGACCAAGGAGUCUAACAUCUAUGCGAGUGUUCGGGUGUCAAACCCGUACGCGUAAUGAAAGUGAACGGAGGUGGGAACCCGCAAGGGUGCACCAUCGGCCGAUCCUGAUGUCUUCGGAUGGAUUUGAGCAAGAGCAUAGCUGUUGGGACCCGAAAGAUGGUGAACUAUGCCUGAAUAGGGUGAAGCCAGAGGAAACUCUGGUGGAGGCUCGCAGCGGUUCUGACGUGCAAAUCGAUCGUCAAAUUUGGGUAUAGGGGCGAAAGAC
Molecule: ribosomal RNA, 874 nt
Filed under: Lasiodiplodia theobromae
Lineage: Eukaryota; Fungi; Ascomycota; Dothideomycetes; Botryosphaeriales; Botryosphaeriaceae
Description: partial large subunit ribosomal RNA
Rfam family: Eukaryotic large subunit ribosomal RNA
Source: RNAcentral